AAUCUGACAAAUCACUUUCUAAUGUGCCCAGCUCAAACUUAGCAAGGGAAGUGAUAGUGGAGUUUUUGGACCCAGUAGAAGAGCUCGCCAGAGCGCCACCAUGUCUCCUUAUUCACGACCUUCCAGGGGACGUUUUGAAAAUUCUGCUAACAUGAAGAGCUAUGAAGCAGGGGAAUCAAGUAUAUCUAUGCCGCAGACAACAACCUAUGGGAAGCAUAUAGGAUUAGAAGUUUGUUUUUUUUUCUAUAAAACGGUAAUGUUACAUUAUGGAGAUAAGCCGUCUUUUUUUUAAGUGAAAAAUAGUAAUCUUACAUAUGUUUAAUGUAGUUUUUCCAUUUUUUAAUGCUGUAUGUUUACAUAUUUUUUACAAUUUUUGAAAAUAAUUAAUAUUAAAAUGUAAAACUAUAUUUUAUGCCACGUGUCAUCUUUCGGGAUAAAUUUUUUCCGCUGAUGUGGACGCCCUUGUAAAACUAUAUUUUAUGCCACGUGUCAUCUUUCGGGAUAAAUUUUUUCCGCUGAUGUGGACGCCCUAUGGAGCCUCAAAAGCUCCCUUUUAUUAGUAGAGAUUACCUUGAUUUUCUGGAUUAUUUCGAAAAGUUUCAACAACAAAGAGAGUAGAAAAAUGUCAACAACGCACAUGACAUGAGUCGCUAUAAUAAAGAUUAAACGCGAGAAAAAAAAAAGAUCACUGAAACAAAAAAAGAGAGAGAGACAUGGCCACUGAAGGAGACGCGACGUUUCCUGCUGCGACUGCGACGAGCGAUGCGGCGAGAGGUACAGGCGGCAAAUUAAGGCGACAAACCGCGAGGAGGCACUCAGCGACGACGCCGUAUUCUCGACCGCCUCAGAACCAGGCACAACGGAGGCCGUGGAUCUCGAGAAUCGUCGAUCCCGCUUAUCGGAUUAUUUCCGGCGGCGCCACGAGAAUACUUCCCUACUUCUUCUCUAAUGCAGCCUCCGCUCCUAGUGCUCUCACAGCUCCACCAGAAGAUGAAGAUCGACACCAAGGUCUUUGGUCUAAUGUUUUUGAGGAGUUAAUUGGAAUUUAACUUAAAUUAAUGAUUGUAUCUAUGUAGUUCAGCGAGUAUCUAGGGUUUUGUUGAACUUGCCUCAUUGCUAGAAAAUUAGACGCCAUAAAAUCACCAGGGAUAGGCUUUACUUUUUUUUGGUGCAUGAUUGUAAUGGUCAAUUAAGAUGCUCUGUGUGUGAACCGGGCUUUGUAGUCUGGUGGUAAAGGAACCUUGGCUGAGAUGUCCGCCAUCACGAGUUCGAGCCCCGGCCACAGCGGAUAUAACAUGGUUUCUGUUUGGCCUCCAGGACCUUCCUCGCCAGUUCCGGUUGGACGCAGUGGAAUAGUCGGACUAAGUGAGAGGUCCAGGAUACCUGGAUUAUCAAAAAAAAAAAGAAAAAAAAAUGCUCUGUGUGCUUUAGUGUUAGUAAGUAGCUUUUAGUGUGAAGUGAGUGAUGGAUGUAUUGACUCCUUGCUUGAAUAGUGUCUUUGAGCAACAAGUGUAUCAUCUUUUGGGGAUGUAUAUACAGUUUUACUCCAGAGAAAUAACUUGUCUGAUAUAGUAUUUCGUUUUUUACUUCAUUUUCUACUAGAUGAGUUGCAAGAUGAUCCACAGGAGAAUGAUCCCAGCAGUGUAACACCAAGUUUAAGUGUAAGCGUCUUUCAACUCCUCUGUUAAUAUCUGAUUGGGGAAUAUACCGCUCUAGCUAAGCUGGUUUUUUUUUGUCUUUGCUAUAGUGUGUUUUUUGGUAUGUCAUGUACGAUUUCAUCAACUAAUGGAAGUAAAUAUCAUUCUUGCUCAUGUUUUUUUUUCUUGUAAUCUUUGACUUUUUGCGCUUGUGUGUGUCUGUCUGCAUUUGUUAAUUGAUGGGAUCUCUAAAAAAUUUCUAUGUUAAGAAACUGUUACUCUUACCGUGGCUGUUUUAUAUUGGAACCGGUAAAUGGAAUAAACAAUGGUUUAUAAAUGCAUAGAAGUGAUUUUUGUAUAAUCUAAGAGAGAUGUGAUCUUACUGCUCCGUGCUCUUUAGUUGGAUUCAUUCGACAUGAAUGACACGAUUUAUUUCUCCUGCUAAUGCAUGACCGUACUCUCUUCAUUUAAUUCCUGCUUUUGUGGUUUGCAAUAGAUACAUCAUUUUUUUUUCUCUUUUCAGAAACCGAAGCUAGCAACAAUUGAAGAGGGAGGUACUAGUGGUACAGCAAACGUCAACGAAAGCAAUUUCAGUAUCAGUGCACAGGCUAAAGGCAACAUAGCUUUGAAUGAUGUCGUUGCGAUCUCGGAGCUUGAAAGGCUGAUGGAAGGAAAAACGUUUUCACGGUAUGUUUAUUAUCAUGUCUCUACAUUAGUUGCAUUUCAAAUGAUGCUCGAUGGAAAUUCGCUUCCUUUUGCUUGUUAGUUUGUUAACGCUUAUAUUCAUGACUGGGUCAUUAGAUUCUUAUUGAGCGACUGCUUAUCUUUCCUGGCCUUUCUGUUAUCUUUUUUUGCAUUUUUGUUUGUAUUUUGUUUAUAUAGACGAAUUUUACACUGACCAUCUUUUCAUUUAUUUCCAGGGCGGAAACUGAUCGUCUUAUAGAGAUAUUAAAUUCAAGGGCUACUGAUCUAUCUGGUGUCGUGAGAGACGAGCGAGUGGAGAUCCCUCUGAGAGAGGGAGUCAAGAAAAAUAUGAGUUUUCUUGAUAAGAGAAAAGAACCAAUUGGUGCCAAGGAUGCUAGCAGUGAGCUUUGGGCUACGCCAACACCACUUGCCAAGUCAAUAGUAAGUUGCUUGCUAUCCAGCGUUUUUGUUUGUUUGGAUGUUUAUAUGAAAUAGUAAUUUGUAUUAAACAUGUUUAUAUAUAAAGUUUAGAGUGAAGUUUGGCAUACUCUGGGAGUAAUUUGGAAUGUAUCCGCAUGGAUUUGGUCUAGAGGUCUGUGUGAGAUUGGACUGUUUGUGUAAUCAUAUGAAAAGAGCUAUGUAAUUUCACAAAUUUGCUUCAUCAAAGAAUUGAUUUUUUUUUUACUUCACUAGUCCUUAUUUCUGGAACUGUUUUCAUAUACUCACUUUUCUCAUUUUCUUUGUUAUAGACUCUUGACGGAGUCAAACAGGUGCGGGAUGAAGCUGGUCUAUCACCAGCAGAACUUGCUAAGGCAUAUAUGGGAGGCCAGACAUCAUCGAGUAGUCCCAAAGGUUUUGUAGCAAGAAAUGAAAAGAAUAGUCUAGACGGGGGUAUGUUUGUAGCAAAUUAUUCUGGUGCAUCACCAUCGAGCAAGCCUUCCGCAUGUUGGCCUGGUGUCAAGUUAAAUGAGCAACUUGGUUUUGCGACUCCUCAAAACCAACGAGAAAAUUUUGGGAUUCAAAGUUUUCCAAGGACCCCAUAUCCUAGAUCCAUCCUCUCAAGUUCUAAGUCAAAGGUGUGUAUAGUUUUUUGUUAAUACCUAUUUGCUCAAAGUUUUUUGGUAUACUUGAACUGUAUUUUUUUCUUGGCUCAGCUGAUGCAAUUGCAAGACAACAGUAGCAAGCGCCUGAGCACCCUCCAGUCUCCCUCCCAAAGUGCGCAGACAAGAUAUGGCCAGGUAAACUCUCCCAGUCGGCUAUACAAUUCUGAUUACUCUGUACGAUUUAUAAUAUAGUGUGGACUUGCUAUUUAUUUUUUUUACCUUAGAGACGAUCUUACUGAAAAUGUAGUAUUGUUCCCGGAUGUGUUGGAUCCCUGUCAGUGUCCAAGGAUCCUCAAAUACAAAGAUAGGGAAAUGGUCUGAUUUAAACAUUUUAUUAUAGUUCGUACAUACUUAUUCAAACUGUUUAAUAAACCUCUCUCGACUUCGUCCAGAGGUAGGCAGACAAUGAAAACUGGAAGUUCUCACUUCAAAAGGUCCCAAUGCUCUCCAUGAAAUUAGCUCUUGAAUCUUAAUCCUCUUUUACCUGUUGAAAUGGUGUUGGGAAUCUAGGUAAGAUGGGAUCGAAUGAAAAGGGGCCGUAACAGUCCGCUGAUUGUUUCAAAGUAUGUACUUUUAUUGUUGCCAUUAGAUUAACGAAAUCGUCUUCCACUAGCAUAAGCAAUGGUUGACUUGUGAUCUAAUUUAUACUUAAGGUAGGUGAAAUGUUAGGGUGGUUGAAGGGAUUUAGGCAACAGAAGAAUAGAAGUAUGCGGUUGUGCAAAUGACUAGUUCUAGACAUCUUUGCCUGGACUUUUCUGAGAGUUAUUUUCGUCAAACAUUCAUAGUGCUGAUUUUUCUUGCUGUUGUUGACAUUUUGCAAAAACUUGGUUCUAAAUUAGAGUCAUCAAUAUCCUGCCUUUUUAAUCUUUCUUGUGUUCUUUCUAUCUGCUGAAUCAUAUAACCUCUGUUGAAAUCUGACAAAUCACUUUCUAAUGUGCCCAGCUCAAACUUAGCAAGGGAAGUGAUAGUGGAGUUUUUGGACCCAGUAGAAGAGCUCGCCAGAGCGCCACCAUGUCUCCUUAUUCACGACCUUCCAGGGGACGUUUUGAAAAUUCUGCUAACAUGAAGAGCUAUGAAGCAGGGGAAUCAAGUAUAUCUAUGCCACAGACAACAACCUAUGGGAAGCAUAUAGGAUUAGAAGUUGGUACACCGACUGUGCCUAGACAUUCUAGUCAGAUCGCUAGGACGAUACUGGAUCACCUUGAACGGACGCAACCCACCCCGAAAGAUAAAUCUGCUGAGUUAAAGCUUGCCACUU
This 4682-nucleotide long non-coding RNA is filed under the name Brassica napus (rape). RNAcentral's name for it is "long non-coding RNA (BNAP_LNC010654)". Lineage: Eukaryota; Viridiplantae; Streptophyta; Magnoliopsida; Brassicales; Brassicaceae. The record is from RNAcentral.